Molecule: transfer RNA, 65 nt
Filed under: Cucujoidea sp. 38 KM-2017
Lineage: Eukaryota; Metazoa; Arthropoda; Insecta; Coleoptera
Description: tRNA-Phe
Source: RNAcentral
ACUUUUAUAGCUUAUUUAGAGCGUAAUAUUGAAGAUAUUAAGGAAAUUUAUUGAAUUUGAAAGUA